RNAcentral lists this microRNA precursor (85 nucleotides) under Anopheles gambiae str. PEST. RNAcentral's name for it is "partial AGAP013664-RA". The record is from RNAcentral. Lineage: Eukaryota; Metazoa; Arthropoda; Insecta; Diptera; Culicidae.
GACUUGCCCGGGGCUGUCUGCGUGUGUGUGUGUGUGUGUGUGUGUGCGCGAGCGUUCGCGUUCUUGCGGCGCCCCGGUCGCCCAC